RNAcentral lists this long non-coding RNA (2500 nucleotides) under Homo sapiens (human). RNAcentral's name for it is "non-protein coding lnc-RASL11B-2:6". The record is from RNAcentral. Lineage: Eukaryota; Metazoa; Chordata; Mammalia; Primates; Hominidae.
AGCAGACAGUUACAGCUCCCACUAGGACACUGCCUUCUCAGCGGCUUCAGUUAUCAGAUAUUCCUGGACAUACUUUCCAAGCCAUGAAAAAUAACAGCCACAGCUUUCCCAGCACUCUGACAAACAUCCAUGAGCCCCCAAAGACCGGGAAGUAAUGAUGAUGCAGCUGCGGCACCAUAGAAGAAACAAGUGAUUUCAGUCAAAGGGCCUGGACUCACGAGCUAGCAACUUUGGACAGAUUCUUGAACUCUCAGCCUCAGUUUCUGCUUCUGUAAAGGGAGAUAACUACAGUGACCUUCAGGUUAUCUUGAAGAUGCCAAUGAGCUAGUGAAAAUGCAAUUUAAUCUGUACAGAACUAAACAAAUGCUCUUUUAAUACAAAUUAAUUAAAAGCAGGCAUCUUAAGAGGUGGCUUAAGAAGACUCCUGCAUCAUCAUAGGGAGUUAAAAUUCUGAGCAAAAAGCCUUCUGGAGGAGAAGCAUAGGACAGGCAGCCCCAAGACUGGACUGGAUAGAUGUUGCUGAGCCACCAACUCUCUGAGGGACCUGAGACAAAGCCAGGUGACCUCACCAGUGCUCCAUGUUCUCACCAUAAGUUCUAUAGGACACUCAAAUAUUCUCAGGACAUCAGUUUACUAUACACAUGCACACACACAUAUUUUACAUUUCAUUCAAAGGGUAAAACAUAGACUCCCUUUGUUCUAUAAACCUACAAACAUGUCUGAGCAUUUUUUACAUAAAUAUUUCACAAAUAUUUUACAUGAAUACUUCGACUUAUAAGUCCAUAUUUUAACAAUGGCAUCUUUUCCAAUGUGUACAUUAUGGAAGUGUGGUUGGGGUGUACAGCCUAGGAGCUCAGGGACUGCACAGGCCUGUUCUUUAUGGAUGCAUUGCAUUCAUCUCCCACAGCCAUUUGUAGCUUCAGCUGUUUCUGAAAGCAGCCACUUUCCCUUUUGAUGUCUGAGGUCCAUUAUUUUCAUUUUUGACUUAACCAACAGGUGUUCUCUCUUGAACUCUUUCCUACAUGAGCUGUCUUGCCUCAGGGUUCCCACGGACAGGAGAGUUUUUCCUACAGUGUUACUGAGAGGCACAGAGAAAUCAGUUCCUCCUGGUCCACUGGCUCCGCUCUCAGCACUGCAGUCUCUUGUGACCACGCUGAAGUCUCAACGUUUCCCCCUUCUGAGGACAUGCAGGGACAGAAGGGUGAACCACAAGGGCCAGACCUAAUGCUCCAGGAAAACAAUGAAAGAACAAUUUUCCAUCCUUUUAUUUAGGGCUUAAGUAAGCCAGGCCUGUAACACCAAAUUGUGAGAGUGCACAAGAUGUUUUUGAACCUUGGUGCAGAAUCCAGAAAGAAGUGCAGCCUCUGGUGACAGGGUCUUGGGCUAGCCAUGUGAAGCCUGGCUUUAUGUCAGGCCUCUCAAAUGUGCUGUACAAACCUACCUGCAGGUCUACUCUAGGCAGAAGGGGUGGACCGAUGGCACCAACAAACACAUCUGUACACACAACAGUGCAGCAGACACUUGUGGAUGGGGUAUGAGACAAGCUGUAGAUGCCCUCAAUUAAAUCUGAGGACAAAAGAAGACUGCCCAGAGAGUGGCACUAGCAUGGCAACAAAAUAUUUCAAAAUAUUAAUGGGUUUUACAUACACGCAUAAAAUCACAUUUUUCUGACCUUAUAACACAUUUCAGUCAUUUAGGUAUUGAGUUUGUAAUGCUUGUGGAUACUCGAAAAAUUGAAAGAGGCAAAGUUAGACUUCUUGUCCCCAAGACUGGAAAUAUGUCCCUUCGUUGGGAGUUGGGUGGUGUUGAAUGCAGUUGGGGUGGAAGGAGAGGAGAGCUAAUGGGAAAACAAAGAAUAAGUAAAUGUUCUACAUUCCUGAGAAAAGGGGCCCUGCCCCCUAGCCAUCUCUGCAGCAAAGCCCUGGGGGAGAGAGAGAGAAUGCUCAGACAUGUUUGUAGGUUUACAGAACAAAGGGAAUCUAUGUUUUACCCUUUGAAUGAAAUACAGGAAAGCAAAAUACCUAGAGCAGAAAUGGCUGUGUGACAUGUCAGACAAGGUCAUAGAGUUUUCCAUGGCCCUGCACUGCCCGUGGCUCAUGUGGCAUGACUGUAGGUGAAACCCAGAAUGGACUCUCAAGGUGCCCUGGGCUCCCUUCCUCAAUGGCUGAAGAAGGCUUCUCUUGACCUAAUGGAGUUUAAAGAGACUUGGGGAUAUAGUGAACUAGACCCCAGAAGCCUUUCAAACAGGAACUAGGGGGCGCCCACCAGGACCUUGUGGACUGACAGUGGAGGCUCAAUGAGACAAAAUGUGUCAUGGAGAUGCCUUCAGGACAGACAGCAUUCGGGAACAGAUACCAGCUCCUUACAGUCUUGGCCUCCAGAUUAGACAUGGCCCUGGAAAAAGGUGAUGGGGGACCUGGAAUUACCAGACAGCAAUUCCGUUCCCCCACUUAGUGGAAUGGGAGCACAACAUGUAAAUUAAAGGAAUUAGAGAAAAACA